RNAcentral lists this transfer RNA (84 nucleotides) under Halobacteriovorax marinus. RNAcentral describes it as "tRNA-Leu". It matches the Rfam family "tRNA". From Rfam's summary of the family: Transfer RNA (tRNA) molecules are approximately 80 nucleotides in length. The record is from RNAcentral. Lineage: Bacteria; Pseudomonadati; Bdellovibrionota; Bacteriovoracia; Bacteriovoracales; Halobacteriovoraceae.
GCGGCCGUGGUGGAAUGGUAGACACGCAUCGUUGAGGUCGAUGUGCCGAAAGGUGUGGAAGUUCAAGUCUUCUCGGCCGCACCA